Molecule: non-coding RNA, 83 nt
Organism: Acanthosepion pharaonis
Lineage: Eukaryota; Metazoa; Mollusca; Cephalopoda; Sepiida; Sepiidae
Source: the annotation of a GenBank genome assembly
UGUAUGAUCACUGAAGUUAAGCAACAUUGAACCUGGUCAGUACCUAGAUGGGUGGUCGCUUGGGAAUACCAGGUGCUGCAAGC